AGCUGCAGAUCAGUGAAGGAAGAGUAAGGUGUAAAGGAAUGUUAGCAAAUAUAAAAAAUUACCCUAGGUGGACCCUCGAGUGAGGAAGAAGAAAGCAUCAACAUUAACAUCAUAUUCCUCCCAGUGAAGGACUCCAGAUGCUGAUGACUCGCCAUAACCCACCACCACCACCGCCACCAGAGUGAAACUAUCAAGCUCAGGACCCAAAGGAGCUGUGGAAGGGUCAGCAUAACACUGGGAUAGAAGCUAAAAAGUGAAAAUCCAGAGAGGUGUCAUACUGCUAAAAGAAGAAUACUGGGAAGAGGGAAAAAGUUUAACAAGAUCAAGAGGAUAUGCUUCUACUGGAAAACUCCGUCCUAGUUUGACUGAGACUGAUCAUUUUUACCCCUUUAGUUGUGUGUGUGCAUAAGUGCUGGUGACUAAAUGUAUCCCUGAGACAGAGCUCACUUCUUGCAACCUGGUGAAAGUCCCUCCUGCCAACUCGGAGCCAUUUCACUACUCAUACAAGAAGCUUGCACUGCCAC
Molecule: long non-coding RNA, 524 nt
Filed under: Struthio camelus australis
Lineage: Eukaryota; Metazoa; Chordata; Aves; Struthioniformes; Struthionidae
Description: lncRNA (ENSSCUG00000016099.1)
Source: RNAcentral